AGUGAACGCUGGCGGUAGGCCUAACACAUGCAAGUCGAACGGCAGCACAGUAAGAGCUUGCUCUUACGGGUGGCGAGUGGCGGACGGGUGAGGUAUACAUCGGAAUCUACUUUUUCGUGGGGGAUAACGUAGGGAAACUUACGCUAAUACCGCAUAUGACCUACGGGUGAAAGCAGGGGAUCUUCGGACCUUGCGCGAUUGAAUGAGCCGAUGUCGGAUUAGCUAGUUGGCGGGGUAAAGGCCCACCAAGGCGACGAUCCGUAGCUGGUCUGAGAGGAUGAUCAGCCACACUGGAACUGAGACACGGUCCAGACCCCUACGGGAGGCAGCAGUGGGGAAUAUUGGACAAUGGGCGCAAGCCUGAUCCAGCCAUACCGCGUGGGUGAAGAAGGCCUUCGGGUUGUAAAGCCCUUUUGUUGGGAAAGAAAAGCAGCAGGUUAAUACCCCGCUGUUCUGACGGUACCCAAAGAAUAAGCACCGGCUAACUUCGUG
Molecule: ribosomal RNA, 492 nt
Filed under: uncultured bacterium
Lineage: Bacteria
Description: partial 16S ribosomal RNA
Rfam family: Bacterial small subunit ribosomal RNA
Source: RNAcentral